This is a non-coding RNA of Ictidomys tridecemlineatus (thirteen-lined ground squirrel), 72 nucleotides long. Lineage: Eukaryota; Metazoa; Chordata; Mammalia; Rodentia; Sciuridae. The record is from Rfam.
GGGGUUGCGGCUCAGCGGUAGAGCAUUCGCCUCUCACGUGUGAGACCCUGGGUUCGAUCCUCAGCACCCAUA